This is a long non-coding RNA of Xenopus laevis (African clawed frog), 1517 nucleotides long. RefSeq lists it as uncharacterized. The transcript has 5 exons. The record is from RefSeq and is a predicted model, not a curated record. Lineage: Eukaryota; Metazoa; Chordata; Amphibia; Anura; Pipidae.
AACCUGUGCAGAGAGGAGUUCAGCGUGCACCCGAGACUGCAAACAGUGAGUUGUGUGAGUGUGGCACUUUACCUCUGACUUUGUAUAGAUUGUAAUUCUGCAUAUAAAGUGCCCUUACACUAUAUACAAUGUCUCAACCUACAACUCAAGAAAUACCAUUGAUUUUUGCUUAUAGUGAAAGUGAAGCAAAUAGAAUUAUACAGCAGAACAAAGGCAAUAGUUCCUUUUAACAAGUGUCUACUGAUACAACUUUAUAACGAGAGAUUGAAAGGGAGAAACGGAAAUGGAUCGGGUUGGAUCUACAUGCCAUAACCCUUACAGAAUAUUAUAAGGUCGGCAGAAUACCCAGGGGCUUACGAGUUAAUUUGCGACCAACCAUUUUCAAAGAGAAAAAACAUUUUUCACAGAAAUAUGAAAGAAUUAUCAACAAAUGCUAGUUUGACAUAAUCCUAUUGAACAUUGAAUUCUUACAGCGUGAAAUUUUGGAGUCCUCUAAACAUAUAGAAGCUAUGAGUGAUAAAUUGAAAGAAUGUUCCCCUAUAGAGACAUACAGAACACAAUUGCGACAAAUGGAAGAGAACCUGGACAAGCACAGACGGGAGAUCGAGGAGAGGAAGAGAAGCAAAUUCCGCAGAGACGAAUCCCACUACAGCUCAGGUCAGGUGUACAGCUGGCAACGGACCGAUACUGACAGGAGAGGAGCGUACAUGCAGCCACGUCGCACACGACGACGUCAUCAGCAGGAGACAUCCGAUCAGAGGCAGCGCGAUCACAGUGAGCAUGGGAGAGACCGCUCUACCGAUAGCGUGCAGUAGGAUACAUCAGCACAGGAGUCGUCAACAUCAUCUUCUUUUUUAGAAUUGGGCAACAAAAAAUACACACGAAGAAAAGGAGAGGAGGGAGACACCACAGACGCAACAUGGGACAAGCGCAGACAGCCAGAACGACAGACACGGACCCAAAAGAGACAUUAGUGAAGUAUAUUGCUCCUAUCCUGGGAAUUGCUGGUGUCCUGACAAACGUAGACAUCCAGAACUCCAGUGACAGAGCAAAUAUAUCUCAUCCAUUCAAUAAAAGAUGGAGGUUCCUUGGACUUCCAAUGCUUUGGAAUAAGUAAUUUAAAUCGAAGGUACAAAGCCUGCUUGAUCCUAGUGAAUAAGUGAUGAUUAGACCCCAAAGCUAUCAAAUAGCCUCUUAAAACACAUUUUACAGAUUCCCAUAAAUUUGAUGGCGAGAUCUCAGGUGUUUUAUUGUUUAAUAUAAUUUGUUUAAUCCAUUGUUGUAUCAACUCCUUGUUUUCUGCAUUAUGUAAUAAAAACUCAUUUAGAUGCCAAUUAAACUCUGGUUUAGUUACCCCUGGUAUUGUAUAUUUUGUUAUUACCAGUGCGUGGCCUGAUAUUAAUGAUGUGGCUAUAUAUGUUUUUUGAAAUAAGUGUACCCAUUGUUGUGAUACCAUUAUGUAAUCUUUACGUGAAUAAACCUGAUAUUGCUUUGAAUAAUAUGAGUAGUCUUUUUUU